AGGACGAACGCUGGCGGCGUGCCUAACACAUGCAAGUGGAGCGACGACCCGGGCUUCGGCCCGGUGCAAAGCCGCGAACGGGUGAGUAACACGUGGGUAACCUGCCCUGAUGAUUGGGACAACCCGAGGAAACUCGGGCUAAUACCGAAUGUGCCCUCUGGCCGUAAGGCCUCUGGGGAAAGGAAGCUUCGGCCUCCGCAUUGGGAUGGGCCCGCGGCCCAUUAGCUUGUUGGUGAGGUAACGGCUCACCAAGGCAACGAUGGGUAGCUGGUCUGAGAGGACGAUCAGCCACACUGGGACUGAGACACGGCCCAGACUCCUACGGGAGGCAGCAGUGGGGAAUCUUGCGCAAUGCGCGAAAGCGUGACGCAGCAACGCCGCGUGGGGGAAGAAGGCCUUCGGGUUGUAAACCCCUUUCAGUUGGGACGAAGCUUCGGCGGUGAAUAGCCGCCUGGAGUGACGGUACCUUCAGAAGAAGCCCGGCUAACUACGUGCCAGCAGCCGCGGU
This 508-nucleotide ribosomal RNA is filed under the name uncultured bacterium. RNAcentral describes it as "SSU rRNA". It matches the Rfam family "Bacterial small subunit ribosomal RNA", at positions 26 to 521 of the family's 1533-position model. The record is from RNAcentral.